GACGAACGCUGGCGGCGUGCUUAACACAUGCAAGUCGAACGGAAAGGCCCUGCUUUUGUGGGGUGCUCGAGUGGCGAACGGGUGAGUAACACGUGAGUAACCUGCCCUUGACUUUGGGAUAACUUCAGGAAACUGGGGCUCAUACCGGAUAGGAGCUCCUGCUGCAUGGUGGGGGUUGGAAAGUUUCGGCGGUUGGGGAUGGACUCGCGGCUUAUCAGCUUGUUGGUGGGGUAGUGGCUGACCAAGGCUUUGACGGGUAGCCGGCCUGAGAGGGUGACCGGCCACAUUGGGACUGAGAGACGGCCCAGACUCCAACGGGAGGCAGCAGUGGGGAAUAUUGCACAAUGGGCGGAAGCCUGAGGCAGCAACGCCGCGUGCGGGAUGACGGCUUUCGGGUUGUAAACCGCUUUCGCCUGUGACGAAGCGUGAGUGACGGUAAUGGGUAAAGAAGCACCGGCUAACUACGUG
RNAcentral lists this ribosomal RNA (468 nucleotides) under uncultured bacterium. RNAcentral describes it as "partial 16S ribosomal RNA". It matches the Rfam family "Bacterial small subunit ribosomal RNA", at positions 28 to 507 of the family's 1533-position model. The record is from RNAcentral.